This 17-nucleotide ribosomal RNA is filed under the name Pratylenchus bolivianus. RNAcentral's name for it is "partial 18S ribosomal RNA". The record is from RNAcentral. Lineage: Eukaryota; Metazoa; Nematoda; Chromadorea; Rhabditida; Pratylenchidae.
GCUGCUGGAUCAUUACA